GGUUAGAAGGCUGCCGCCGGGGCUGAGGAAACAUGAGUUUUCUGAGGUCUACCAUCAGACUCAUCCAACUUAGCAGGAACUGCAGGACCCUUUUCUGGAUCUGUGACAGGGACUUGGGUUUCUAUUGCUGUGAUAUGACCAAAAGCAACUUGGGAAGAGUUUGUCUCAUCUUGUUCUUCCACAUCACAGUCUGUCAAAGGAAGUUAAGGCAAGAACUUGGAGCUUGCUCCAUUUGCAAAAUACUCUCUUCAUACGAGGCAGCUUUGAAAUUUUCUUUGUCAAUAAAAUUAAAUCUCCUCACCUUAACUUCAGACUCACUCUUCAGACAAGGGCAAAAAACAGCCACAUUCAUCACCAAAAUAUCACAAGAAUGAUCUCUAGGCAAAAUACUAAGAUUCUUCUCCUCAGACAAUUCUUGAGCCAGGCCCCAAUAGUUCAAAUUACCCUUACCACCAAUGUCUUCCACAUUCACAUUGGAGUGGUCCAUUAAGCCCUGCUUAAAGCAUUUUACUGUUUUCCUAAUCCAAAAUAAAUCCAUAGUUCCU
This 545-nucleotide long non-coding RNA is filed under the name Mus caroli (Ryukyu mouse). RNAcentral describes it as "lncRNA (MGP_CAROLIEiJ_G0002573.1)". The record is from RNAcentral. Lineage: Eukaryota; Metazoa; Chordata; Mammalia; Rodentia; Muridae.